GUUUCAGGGCGAGGUGAAAUUCCUCACUGGCAGUAACCGCAAGCAAGCAAUUGCAAGGCGGAAGUCUGCGACCCCGUUGGCGAAAGCCGCGGGCUGAUCCGGUGAAAAUCCGGGACCAACGGUUAAAGUCCGGAUGGAAGAGG
This 143-nucleotide non-coding RNA is filed under the name human gut metagenome. RNAcentral's name for it is "FMN riboswitch (RFN element)". It matches the Rfam family "FMN riboswitch aptamer (RFN element)", at positions 9 to 130 of the family's 138-position model. Rfam says of the family: The RFN element is a highly conserved domain that is found frequently in the 5'-untranslated regions of prokaryotic mRNAs that encode for flavin mononucleotide (FMN) biosynthesis and transport proteins. This element is a metabolite-dependent riboswitch that directly binds FMN in the absence of proteins. The record is from RNAcentral.